Molecule: long non-coding RNA, 7482 nt
Organism: Tripterygium wilfordii
Lineage: Eukaryota; Viridiplantae; Streptophyta; Magnoliopsida; Celastrales; Celastraceae
Exons: 5
Source: RefSeq, a predicted model, not a curated record
UAUUGUUGUUUUUGGACUUUCUAUUUAUAUAUAUAAUUGUUUUUGGGCUUUCUGCUUUCUACUUUCUAUUUUGCUAGAUAUGAUUGAUUUUUUAUCACCUUUUCACUUUUUGUGAACUUUAAUGGGAGAAUGCUUAUGGGGCUCUAAUGGUGUAGUAUUUGAGCCUUUUAUUAUACCUUAUAUUUUGCUACGCAUGAUGGAGUUUUGAUUGCCCUUCAUGAUUUAAUGAACUCCAAUGGAACUGUUAAUGUUCAGUGCUGUGAUUGUGCCGUCUCCCGACCGUUUUCUGUAAUAAUUUUUGUUGCAGCUAUAAUGAUUUUUUAUUAGCUUGUCUUUAGUUGGUUUAAAAGGAUUGUGGUCAACAAAUGCCCCCAUUCCAAAUUAGUGUACACACCUCCAUUUAGCCAAAGAACAAGUGGCUUCUAAGCUGGGUCUGUUUGUGCUUCAACAAAGUAGUAGAAAAGUGAUCUUUGUUACGAUGGGGAACAUCAUUUGGUCGAUUCUAGUAGUGUUUGAGGAAGAUGAGAUGGGACUAAACAAGAUGGUUGGCAAUAUAAGUGGAAGUUCAUUGAACUUCUACAAUGAAGAUGAGCAUAAAUUUCACAGUAAUGACCUACAUGAGGCAAUGUGCAAGCCUCAAGGAAAAUAGAAAACUUCAAAAACUCAGUAAAUACUUAUGUAUGCUCAACCUUGUGCAAGAUUCCAUUUUAUGGAGUAGAUUUUGGAUGGGGAAAACCCCUACGGGCUACUAGUCCAAGCAGUGCUACAAACAAAAUUGUCUUGCUGGAAACAAGAUGUGGUGAUGGAAUUGAAGCUUGGGUAACCUUGGAGGAGCAAGAGAAGGCGAGAUUCGAACGUGAUGAGGAGAUCCUUGCAUUUGCUUUUUGAAUCUUAGUGUCUUUUGUAAUUCGAGCCGCUUGUGAGUUAACUCCUCGAGCAUUGGUAUUUACUUGCUUAAACAUAAUUAUCAGUUGCUCUCUUUACUUUGUUUAAUCUAAUCUAAUCUAAUACUAUAGCUCUAAAGUUGGGUGCUUUUGGAGCAAUUCUGUGGCGAGCCAGGCUGGUUUUUGUGUAUGCGCGUGUUGUCUUCAUUAUUUCGCUUUUGUGUCCGUCAAUUUUGUCCUGCGUGUUCUGAUCUCGACGAUUGAAGCUGGUGCAUGUAUCCACAUGGCGUUUUCUGCCCCAUCACUCAACUCUGUAUGUUUUCGUUCCGAUUUUGAUGAAGCAACGAUAAACCCAGUAAAGACCAACCCACUUACCCAGGCACAUGCGUCGUCCCUGGAAAGUUCUCGAUGUGUCUUUUGCUCUGCUAUCGUCUAAUAUCGUUGCUUUUAGUUCGUGGUUGCCAUCUUUAGGUUGGUGAUUGCAAUUGUUGUGUCAUCGAUUAGGCUUUCAUUCGUUAUCGUAGAUUUGCUUGCUGCUGGCCCUGUUGCUUUCUUUGUUUUUUCUCUUUGCUCCGGACAAUGUUAUGCUCAUGGCGCUGAUGCUGCCAAUUAAUGUUUUAUGGAAAUUUAUAUUUCCUCACGGAUGAUCAUUUGCGCGUCCAUGCUUGCUUUCUCUGCUGCAUCUUCAAAUUUAUUCCUGCGUUUUUAAGCUUCUUUCAGUCCCUAUUCUUAUAGUUCACUUUAUGCUUUGAUUUUUUUCCAGUCUUCCUGUGGCCAUUACUCAUGCUCCGCUUUAUGGAUUUUCUCCUUUUGGUUUUGCCUUACAUAUCUGAUUGUCUGUUUGUGAAAUAGUUGAUUCUUCACUCUUUGACGGGUUUUGAUGUAGUUUUGCUCAGCUGCCUUGGGUCUUCUCAGGGACUAUUUUUUAAGCUUGGUAUGGGUAUCUGCUUUAUUGAUCGUCUCCUUCUGGUUUUGCCUUCGGUAUCUCAUUUGCUGUUUCUGAAAUAGUUGUUGUUUGGGGACUUGUAAGUUCCAGUUGUUGCUGUGGUUUUCGCCUUCAUCCUACAACUUUACUUUGUACUUCAGGAAUUACCUGCUAUUGAUGGCCACAUGGAAAGUAGCUCCUUCCCCAGCUGCUGGUUGUGCUGCAAUUCUCAAGUCCUCCUAAUUGGCAUCUCUAUGUGUAUAGAUUCUAUGUUGAAUUUGCAGUUUUUUUUUGCUCUAGCAAUAGUCUAUUAUGAUGGUUUCAAUUUCAGGAGUUGUUUGGAGCUAGUUGAGAUAUAUACAUAGGUUGGUCUUCCCCCUGAUGUUCUCAACAGCGUCACUGGAUUGGGCACUGAAGCUGGUGCUCCUUUGGCAUCUCAUCCCAAUGUUGACAAGAUUGCAUUUACUGGAAGUUCUGCUACUGGGUGCAAGAUAAUGACAGCGGCAGCUCAAAUGGUCAAGCCAGUUUCUCUGGAGCUUGGUGGGAAGAGUCCCAAUGUUGUGUUUGAGGAUGUGGAUCUUGAUAAAGGUUGGUAUCUUCUGAGACAUUUUUUAAAAUUUUUACAUUUUAGUGCUUUCAUCCUUUUAUAACUGUAUUCACUUUGUUGUAAACAAAUGUGUACACAAAAUGCUUGGAGAAUCUAACAUGAAUCGGGGAAAAUUGAUGUUUAUAUACCACUAUUAAAUAAUUCCAACAGCUGUUGAGUGGACUGUCUUCUCCAACUUGACAGGUUUUUUUGUGGGUGGAUUCAGUUAUUACAAACUAAUUUUUCACUUUUGGUUGCUUGGGAUUCAUCAAGUCAGUUACACACUUACACCGAUUGUUGUUUUGUGUAUUUCUGAAUGAUUUAUUAGUCUUUGUAUAGCCAUAUAAGAAGAGGACAUCAGCUUAAUUAGUCUUCUCAUCAUUGCCACUCUGGUUUUUCUUCAAACACAAAGUAUGCAUGACUGGUUUCAAUGGAACUGAGAGGCAGAGCAUGUUGCCUAAGAUGGUUAUUUGUUUGAUUCAGGUAUUACUAGCUGCUCUGAUGUUCUUUAUAUUCCAAGUGAUCCACUAUUGCAGCUUUUUGUUUGGGAUGCCUUUGUGUUUUUGUGGUUCUCCAAGAGAAUCUCACUCGAACCCAAUUCCGUUAUCAUCCCUUUCUUACUGCCAAACUUCCCUUUCCAAACAUGAUCCUCAUUGACAGGUUGGCUCUAGCUGGGUUUUAUAGCCAACCAUUCGACACUCUGUGUUGUGGACAUUCACAGAUGGUGUUAUCAUACAUUCAUGUUUACAUUCCCAAAUGGGGAAAGCCAAGCUGAAGGCACAAAGGUUUUUCUUCGAACAGUUGAUGUUAGCAGAGUUGAAUAUAUUCUAACUACAACUCAAUCGUCAAAAAAUAUGAGCUUGAGGGUUAUGUGCGAUGCUUGCACUCAAAAUUCAAAUUGAUGCUAACAGAAUAUCAAAAUACAUUCAUACAAAGGUUGAAUUAGAUGGGAACAAACUCAUUCCUCAAGGGAAAUGAAAAGAUUAUAAUUCUAUGAGGUAGUAGCUUAUUACUUGCAAUGCGGUCAGAUACAAGGGCAAACGAUGUAUUCUGGAGAAGCAUAUGAUGGUGGAGAGUGCAAGGAUAAUACUAAUUCAUAGCAGGAUAUUUUGAUUCUGGGUUAGACCUUGCAACCACACUCAUCUUCUUGUUCUUCCAAGAUACAAAUUUUUACCCAACAAACAUCAAAUUAUAUGCAGGGAGUCUCUGACUGAUUGAGAAUCCACCAAUCAACAUCUCUUAACGCUAUGGUUGACAAUGUUCAUGGUCAGAUUAUAGCAAACCAUGCCAUGGCGCACAUUUGAGAUUUGGUUGGAUACUUAUAAUUUCAUCGUGGAGUGUGUGUGUGUGUGUGUAUGUUCCUACCUUUUAUUUUGUAGGUAUGAUGAGAUGUGAUUGCCCUUUAUAAUUUAAUGAACUUUAAUGUGGCUGUGAUUGUGGUGUAUUCCAGCCUUUUUCUAUAUGGUUCUUUGAGAGGGAGUCAUACUUAUCCUUCAGUUACAAAAAAAUAUUUAUAUAGCCCGAGUCCUUAUUAUGGUUACUUUGGAUAGUUGGGAGUUACGGUGUUGUGAAACUUUUGAAUCAUUAGUUCCCCUAAAAGAUUCUAUCAUCUCUUCUAAAUGUCAAGGUGGCUUCUGGGUAAUUGUUCUUGGAAGUAGCAUGGAUUGCAUCCUUUGAGAGGGAGUUAUACAUAUCUAAAUAAUAUUUAUGUAGCCAGAGUUCUUAUUAUGAUUACUCUGGUUGGAAGUUAGGGUGUUGAGAAAAUUGUGAAUCAUUAGUUCCUAUAGAAGAUUCUGUCUUCAUAUACUCUUGCAAGCUGGCAGGCAUUCUAUUCUCUUCUACUUGUUAUGUUGGGACUACUUGAGGUUCAAGUUAGUGUUUCUCAAACUUUACUUGAAUAUGAGCAACUCUUGUAAUUUCUGGUAAUUUGAUCCCUGGGUUGAAGCUUGAUUCGAUUAUAUUUUGAAUCAAAUUUCUUGAUAGAUGACAUGAUUUCUUUCAAUAAAAAAGAAGUGCCAUAUUUUCUGAGGUACGCUAUGGGUUGGAUCAUAUUGCUUUGGUGGCAAGUCUCAAUAUGUUUUUGUAGCUUAUUUAAGAUGGGUAUAAUUGUGUUUCAUUUUAUUCGGUAGACAGCAUGAGCAAGAUGUUGAAGAUUUUUUUUCUUCCCCUCAAAAUUAUUAAUGGUCUCAUCAAUUUGGAAGUUAUUGACAACGAGUUUUCUGCCGCCUAAUAGAUUUGGUAGCUUUGAGCUGAAGAAUCACUUGCAUUUUCAUAGACAUUAGUUAAGUGGUGUCCUGUGCCAUCUUCCUUGCCUUGUUCAAAGGCCAUUUUUUUUGGAGUGUGAAAAGGCAAUUGUAUGUAUCAUGAAGUUGGUUCCUUGAAGUUGAAUGCGUUUGCAUUAAUAUGCGGAUGGAGCUCUUUGUUUUGGUCGCUCCUUGAUUUUGUUGUCAGUACGUGGCAUUUGCAGUUAUUAUUGUGGGGGAAUCUGUUGCUCGUUGGUUUGCUUUUCACCAUUAUUCAUCUUUCCAUCAUUGUUUGUAGAGGUGUUUCCAGAUCCUUACAAUGGUUUUGAUCCUAUACUGGAGCAGGUUGCUAACAUCCCUGGGAUGCGUUUGGCAGAUAAACUGUUUAGAAAUAUUUGGAUCAUUGGUCGCCAGUCAUAAUUUAGUUGUCAACUUCUCUCGGUGAAUUCUAUUCUUUGUUCUUAUUCUCUCGUGACCUUACCUUGUAUGUUGUUGUUUAUAUUGGGAGUGCCCUGGCAUUUUCAUUCAUAUGGUUCUUGUAACAACGUUAUUUCCUAGGUUGAGCGGAGCAAAAACAAGCGAUGGUGCAAUGGGUUCUCAGAUUGUGUUAUUUUAUACAAGACGUCUGUUUCUGACUGCAAUUAAUAGUUACUUACUUCACAUGGUGGAAUUUAGUUUGAUACAUCUCUUUAGGAGCAAUGUCCUCUUAAGGGUAGUGAGCUGGCUGCCUGGCUAACAGUAUGGUGAUUUGAUUUCUCAAGUUUAUGUGGUACCUUUUCGACUAUGAUUUUUUGAUUUUUUGAAUCCUGUUAUUGACAACUAGCUUGCUUGCCUUAAAUUUUUUGACAAUAUGUUGUUGCAGACUUGCAGCACUAUGACAUGGUAUAAGAUUUCUGGAGUAGUUAUAUUUUCAUCAACAUUUUAAUGGUCUCAUCAAUGAUGAAGUUAUUAUCUGAAUUCUAAGAUAUUGACAAUGCUAUUUGAUGGUCUUAUCUUAUGUAGCUUCAUGUGUUGUUUUUUAUUUCACAAUUGUAGUGUCAUAUGGAUUCUUGUUUUAUGUUUUUAUGGGGUCCUUGUGUGUUGGCUUUGGUUAAGUGCUAAACCAAGUCAUGGUGUUUGCCUUGUGUUUUUUGUUCGCUUCUGUGUUAAAGCUUGACUAUGGCUGUGAAUUAGUUAUCUAUUGUAGUGCAUAUUGUCGUCAUCUAAGGAGGCUUCUACUUUCAUAUCAAAAGUGUUUAUUGUGUUUCUGUGUUUGCCUUUGGCAGUAAAGUUGAUCAUGAAAUUGUGGCUUAUUGUCUUAACUUGAAAGAUUCAAUUCUCCUCUUUAGAAGCUUGAUGUUCUCUUCUUUUGUUCUUUUAUGACCUUGCUUGAGAUUCAAUUGUAGUUUUUUUUUGUGUGAUGCUCGAAAUUCUCAUGACUUAACUGUAUCAUAUGCAACUUUGUUUCAGCAGGGUUGAUGUGAGGUGACUAAUUUCGUUGUCUUCUUGGAAGCGGUAUGGGAUAGAAUUAUCUGAGAGAGAGUAUCUACUUACCCCUUCUUUAUUUUUACCCUACUGCUUGGAUGCUUACUUAUGCUUUAUUUGGGAGUGAGGCUUUUGAGAAAUCUUACUAUGCUUUUGAUAAUAGCUUACUUUCUGAGAUGUUUAUUGCCUUACUGGUUUAGUUCAUGUACACUGAUGUUCUAUUGCUUUCGUAAUUUUAGGCUUUCAGCUUUUGCGAUGGCAAAAUUUCUGACUACCUAGUUAAGUUUGUGAAUCACGGUGGGGAGCUCCCUUUUUUCUCUCUCGUUAGUUGAUAUUUUUCUUAGCUUGGCUAUAGAUUUUUUGGAUGCUUAACAUGGCUUAGUCGCACUUUAGGCUCUGCAUUUGCACGAAGUAGAAAUAAUUAUAGAAAUGCCAUCUUAACAGAAUAUUAGGCCAGAGCUGAGAUUGGUGUUCUUUCUUGGAGAACUUUCUAUUUUAUCAAUUUCGGGAAAACUUGUAGGGUACCAAAAUGCAUGUUCUCUGCAGUGAUUGUUUUGUUUAGAGGCAUAAAAAUAUAUUUUAUGUGCUCCUGUGAAUCAAUUAAGCAUAAUGCGAGGAUAAGCUCUUGGAAGUAGCAUCAAUUGUGCAUAACUAUGAGGGUGAGCUUCUGGAAGUGGCGUGACGUCACAUUUAAACUGACAUUUUAUGCUUGAUUAUGCAGAACUGAGAGGCAGAGCAUGUUGCCUAAGAUGGAUAUUUGUUUGAUUCAGUGCUUCUGUGGUUGGUUCUCCAAGCGAAUCCCACUUGAACCCAAUUCAGAAAUCACCCCUUGCUGAUCCUCGUUGGUAGGUGGGCUUUAGCUGGGUGGUUAUGCCAACCAUUUGACACUCGCUAUGUCGUGGACAUUCAUAGAUGGUGGAUAUGGUGCUCUCAUAGAUUGAUGCUUACAUUCCCAAAUGGGGAAAAGCCAAGAUAAAGGCACAAAGCUUUUUCCUCGCUCUGUUAAUGUUAGCAGCAGCAGCUGUAUAUAUAUCAUAACUACAACUCAAUCGUCAAAAGAUGUGGAGCGUGGGAAGGGUUUUGUGCGAGUGUUUGAGAUCAAAAUUCAAUACUGAUGCAAACUGUUUAUCAAAGAUGCGUUCGUACAAAGGGUGAAUUAGAUGGAAACAAACUCAUGAGUAGCAAAUCAUGCCAAAUGAAUAUAAAAUGGCAUUUAGAAACUGAGUCUGAUGGAGAGAACCCUCCAAGCAAUCAACAUCCCUUUGCCCUAUAAUUGACUAUGUUCAUGGUCAGAUUGUAGCAAAUCAUGCCAGGGGCCACAUUUUGAGAUUCUGUGGAAUGAGCAUAGUAAAAGGUUAAAACUGUAUCUUCAAUGCCAAA